ACAAGCAUGGCAGUUCCUUGGGAAGCUAGAAAUAGAUCUAGAUACACCACUGGUGGGCAUAGGACUCUCCAUCCCACCUCAGAGAUACUUGCUCCUCCAUCUUCAUGGCUACUCUAUUCCAACAACUGAGAAUGACUAAUGAAAAUGUAGUAUAUUCACACGGUGGAAUAUUAUUUAGCUGUGAAGAAGAACUGAAACUGUGAAAUGUGCAGGACCUGGAAUCAUCUAGAAGACUGUCCUCUGGGUAUGUCUACAGGAGUUUCUAGAUUAGGUUCACUGAGCUGGGAAGACUCAUCCUAAACGCUCCACUACAGAGAACAACUUGGGAAAAUGAGGACUGUCGUCUCCAUUGUGCAGAAGGGUAGAUUUUGAAGGAAGAUUAUCUGAAGUCUUCAUACCACCAGGUGACUUCGGGUAUUUUAAUUACAGUAAUUAGCCACUCCUCUGAGGUAAACCUGUCUUCACUGAAAGCUUCAGACUACCAUAGGAUGGUCAGUGAGUUGAAGGGAUCUGCCCUUCUAAUACAGCAUUCAUGUGACUGGGAUUGAUGGAUAAGCAACUGUAAGUAGAGACUUUCUCAAGAGCCAAUCUCUGACCAUCUGGUGUCAUGUGAUCAUAAAACAUAUCCUUAAACAAAAGGGAUUCCAUAUUCAUCCACAUUUGUUCCAUCUGUCUUCUGUCCAGCAGGCGAAAUUCUCCAGAAAACUGUCUACACUUGAUGACUUCAUUCCCUCCCACCUUCUGCCUUGUGCUCCCUUGGGCUUCCUCCGCUCUGAAAAAGCCUCAGGGACCACGUUGUGAAGUUCAGCUACAUACCGAGGUGGUCAUAUCACUUGCCUCAGCCUCAGCCUCUGGCAUGGUUUCCCUGCUCACUUCCUGUCUCUCUUCCACGGCUCUGCUGGCCUCCUUUCCUCAGAGAAGCCCCUUCCCAAUUUUAUAGCAAACUCCUUCUGCCAUUUCCAAGCAUCCAUCAUUGGGAUUCUUCUCCCUAGAGUAGAGUGAAUCCAGCCUAUGAUGUCACUUUACAUGCAGAAACCCGAUGCUUUCUCACCACUUUGCAUGCCAAGUAUAGAACUCUAACCAUGGGCUGGCAUAAAGGACAGAUGCCUCUCAGGGUCCUCAGUAUGAAAUAUAAAUUUAUAAACGUAUUCCACUCCCCCAGGCUAGUAACGCAGAAAUCCUAAGUCAAUCCUCACAUCCAAUCUCUCAUUGUAACAGGCUAGAAAGAUAAGAGAAUCUACAGGUUCACUUUUACCUUUUGAUCUAAAUAUCAGACUAUUGAUACAGAGGACUUUGAAGAAAUGCCAUUUUUCCCCCAGUAAUCUCAUGCUGGGAGAAGAAAAAACACCAGUCUCCCAAGGAAAGAUUUCACACAGUUCUAACAACUAUCCAGGCCAUCUUCUAGGAUGAGACUAAAGCCUUGACAAUGGUGGAUCAGUGGUGGAUGGACCUGCACCAUGGUCCUGACUGUGUACACGUGUGUGUCCUUGGCCCUCUAUUUAAAUUUCAAUCUCACUUCAAGACCCAAAGGAGGACUUGGAGAGUCAAUGUGUUACUUCUUUGCAAUGUGGACACAAUAAAUAAAUCUUCUUUCUCUGUAUCUUGCUUUUAAUCUCUCUCUUCAUUGGCUCAUUGAGAAUGGGUAGCCAGAUCUGGCUUGGGCACAUUUCUGACUCUCCAAGUUGGUAACACCAGCCUCCUUCUCUUCUACUGAUUGCCCAAAUAUGGAUUCUCCUCCCCAUGGCUCCUGCCACCAGUCACAUCUACAAAAUGUGAGAGUUCAAAGACAAAAGUCUUUAGCAUUGACUCUAGUCUCUCUACUCCAGCCACACCUGGCUUCUUCUCCAACUUUCACAGAAGUUGUCUUGCUCCCUUGGGUGAGACCUCUUCUCCAACCCUGUAGCCUACCAGAUUUCUACUCAGCCUUUGGAUGUCAGAUCCCUAAACACAUCCUCAGACUGGCCUGUCUGUCCUUCAGCAUAAACUCACACAUUAUCACCUUAUUCUUGUUGUUAGAUCUUAUCUUGACUUCCAACUGAGUGGCUUGUUGUUUGCUGUGUGCCUCCUCACUGGACUUUAAAGUCUCUCAUGGGAGGAUCAUCUCUCUGUCUAUCCUUGAAACAUUCUCCCAAAGGAAGAACUGCCGUUGUUACUUGUUAUUUAAGUUCGCUGUUCAUUUUUCAUUGAUCAUAUCUUUUAUAUCCUUCAUGACUUUUCCUUAAGUCCUUUCCAUUUCUGAAAGUAAAUGAGUAAAAAAUGAAAAGGGUGAUUAAACUGACUCUGUAACUAAUUGUUGUCCCCCCCCCAGCCCUUCAUCCACAGAAAAGAGAGAAAGGAUCUGAGGAGGAGACUUAGGCAUAUCAUAGGAUUAUAACAAACAGGGUGUUUGGAUGCUAACAUAUUAACAAAGGAAACGGCUGAAGGUCCCUGGUGGUGCUGCUCCUAUGCCUUUGUGAUCCCCAGUGUCGGAUUUUCAUUAGCUUGUAUCCUCAAAAUCAUUAACCUGUGAGCAUCACAGCCUUCCUUCCUCCCCCUCCUCCCAUAAAAGAUAGCAUUAGACUUAGUGCUGCCCUAUUGUUUGGGUGAGUGCAGACAGCAGGAAACCCAUGCAAGCGGAUCUUUAAGAGCAAAGCCAACCAAGAGGAACUGUUCUCCCAGGUUGAGA
Non-coding RNA from Rattus norvegicus (Norway rat), 2665 nucleotides. The record is from RefSeq and is a predicted model, not a curated record. NCBI's taxonomy places the organism in Eukaryota, Metazoa, Chordata, Mammalia, Rodentia, Muridae.